RNAcentral lists this transfer RNA (74 nucleotides) under Anaerolineales bacterium. RNAcentral describes it as "tRNA-Ile". It matches the Rfam family "tRNA". Rfam says of the family: Transfer RNA (tRNA) molecules are approximately 80 nucleotides in length. Their secondary structure includes four short double-helical elements and three loops (D, anti-codon, and T loops). The record is from RNAcentral. Lineage: Bacteria; Bacillati; Chloroflexota; Anaerolineae; Anaerolineales.
AGAUGGGUAGCUCAGUUGGUGAGAGCGUGCGUCUGAUAAGCGCAAGGCCGUCGGUUCGAGUCCGACCCCGUCUA